This 470-nucleotide ribosomal RNA is filed under the name Bergeyella zoohelcum. RNAcentral's name for it is "bacterial SSU rRNA". It matches the Rfam family "Bacterial small subunit ribosomal RNA", at positions 9 to 472 of the family's 1533-position model. The record is from RNAcentral. Lineage: Bacteria; Pseudomonadati; Bacteroidota; Flavobacteriia; Flavobacteriales; Weeksellaceae.
GAGUUUGAUUAUGGCUCAGGAUGAACGCUAGCGGGAGGCCUAACACAUGCAAGCCGAGCGGGAUUUGUUGGUUAGCUUGCUAACUAACAAUGAGAGCGGCGUACGGGUGCGUAACACGUGUGCAACCUGCCUUUAUCUGGGGGAUAGCCUUUCGAAAGGAAGAUUAAUACCCCAUAAUAUAUUGAUUGGCAUCAAUUAAUAUUGAAAGCUCCGGCGGAUAGAGAUGGGCACGCGUAAGAUUAGCUAGUUGGUGAGGUAACGGCUCACCAAGGCUGCGAUCUUUAGGGGGCCUGAGAGGGUGAUCCCCCACACUGGUACUGAGACACGGACCAGACUCCUACGGGAGGCAGCAGUGAGGAAUAUUGGACAAUGGGUGAGAGCCUGAUCCAGCCAUCCCGCGUGAAGGACUAAGGACCUAUGGUUUGUAAACUUCUUUUAUACAGGGAUAAACCUACUCUCGUGAGGGUAGC